AAUUCUCAAGCCCUCUAGGUCAUUUUGUGACUUGGUUGGAGCCUUGGAUGUGGAGGGUCUUGCAGGCCUUUAUCAGGUCAGCUCCUCUGAAAGUCAUUAGCAGAACCGGUUGUGAUCUGUGAUAGGCAUGAUAAUUAUCUAUGUCAACGGGAUCACUCUCUGUCUUGUUCAGCUUCAAACUGUCCCCAGGACAAACCAUUCAUUGAUU
This 208-nucleotide unclassified non-coding RNA is filed under the name uncultured Agaricales. RNAcentral describes it as "sequence contains ITS2". Lineage: Eukaryota; Fungi; Basidiomycota; Agaricomycetes; Agaricales. The record is from RNAcentral.